This 76-nucleotide transfer RNA is filed under the name Tissierellia bacterium. Its description in RNAcentral is "tRNA-Thr". It matches the Rfam family "tRNA". Rfam says of the family: Transfer RNA (tRNA) molecules are approximately 80 nucleotides in length. Their secondary structure includes four short double-helical elements and three loops (D, anti-codon, and T loops). The record is from RNAcentral. Lineage: Bacteria; Bacillati; Bacillota; Tissierellia.
GCCCUCUUAGCUCAGUAGGUAGAGCGCAUCCAUGGUAAGGAUGAGGUCGCCGGUUCGAUUCCGGCAGUGGGCUCCA